AAUAGAUACCCCGGUACGUCCACGCUGUAAACGAUGUCAACUAGCUGUUGGUUAUAUGAAAUAAUUAGUGGCGCAGCAAACGCGAUAAGUUGACCGGCCUGGGGAGUACGGUCGCAAGAUUAAAACUCAAAGGAAUUGACGGGGGCCCGCACAAGCGGUGGAGCAUGUGGUUUAAUUCGAUGCAACGCGAAGAACCUUACCUACCCUUGACAUACAGUGAAGCUUGUAGAGAUACGAGCGUGCCUUCGGGAGCACUGAUACAGGUGCUGCAUGGCUGUCGUCAGCUCGUGUCGCGAGAUGUUGGGUUAAGUCCCGUAACGAGCGCAACCCUUAUUCUUAGUUGCCAACGCGUAGAGGCGGGGAACUCUAAGGAGACUGCCGGUGACAAACCGGAGGAAGGCGAGGACGACGUCAAGUCAUCAUGGCCCUUACGGGUAGGGCUACACACGUGCUACAAUGGCGGAUACAGAGGGCAGCGAAGGGGCGACCUGGAGCGAAUCUUAUAAAGUCUGUCGUAGUCCGGAUUGGAGUCUG
RNAcentral lists this ribosomal RNA (534 nucleotides) under uncultured bacterium. Its description in RNAcentral is "bacterial SSU rRNA". It matches the Rfam family "Bacterial small subunit ribosomal RNA", at positions 777 to 1307 of the family's 1533-position model. The record is from RNAcentral.